GAUGAACGCUGGCGGCGUGCUUAACACAUGCAAGUCGAACGAAGCAUUUACGACAGAUUUCUUCGGAUUGAAGUUGUUUAUGACUGAGUGGCGGACGGGUGAGUAACGCGUGGGUAACCUGCCCUGUACUGGGGGAUAGCAGCUGGAAACGGCUGGUAAUACCGCAUAAGCGCACGGUGCUGCAUGGCACAGUGUGAAAAACUCCGGUGGUAUAAGAUGGACCCGCGUCUGAUUAGCUAGUUGGUGAGAUAACAGCCCACCAAGGCGACGAUCAGUAGCCGACCUGAGAGGGUGACCGGCCACAUUGGGACUGAGACACGGCCCAGACUCCUACGGGAGGCAGCAGUGGGGAAUAUUGCACAAUGGAGGAAACUCUGAUGCAGCGACGCCGCGUGAGUGAAGAAGUAAUUCGUUAUGUAAAGCUCUAUCAGCAGGGAAGAUAGUGACGGUACCUGACUAAGAAGCUCCGGCUAAAUACGUGCCAGCCGCCGCGGUAA
This 497-nucleotide ribosomal RNA is filed under the name uncultured bacterium. RNAcentral's name for it is "partial 16S ribosomal RNA". It matches the Rfam family "Bacterial small subunit ribosomal RNA", at positions 28 to 523 of the family's 1533-position model. The record is from RNAcentral.